Molecule: ribosomal RNA, 383 nt
Filed under: Boophis luciae
Lineage: Eukaryota; Metazoa; Chordata; Amphibia; Anura; Mantellidae
Description: partial 16S ribosomal RNA
Rfam family: Bacterial large subunit ribosomal RNA
Source: RNAcentral
CGCAAUCAAUUGUUCUUUAAAUGAGGACCAGAAUCAACGGCAUCACGAGGAUCCUACUGUCUCCCCCCUCUAAUCAGUGAAAUUGAUCUCCCCGUGAAGAAGCGGGGAUAUAAAUAUAAGACGAGAAGACCCCAUGGAGCUUUAAACCCAACAACACCUAUCUAUUUUAUUCCCCCAUAUUUAUACGGUUAUGUUUGUUUGGUUUUAGGUUGGGGUGACCGCGGAGUAUAAAACAACCUCCACGAAGAAAAGACUAAUAAUCUUUAUCAGAGAAAGACAUUUCUAAGAAAUAAUAUAUUAACUUUAAAUGAUCCGAUAUUCGAUUAACGAAUCAAGUUACCCUGGGGAUAACAGCGCAAUCCACCUUAAGAGCCCUUAUCGAC